Molecule: ribosomal RNA, 322 nt
Filed under: uncultured bacterium
Lineage: Bacteria
Description: bacterial SSU rRNA
Rfam family: Bacterial small subunit ribosomal RNA
Source: RNAcentral
AACGAACGCUGGCGGCGUGGAUAAGACAUGCAAGUCGAACGGAUUUUUCCGCUGUAGCAAUACAGUGGGAGGUCAGUGGCGCAAGGGUGCGUAACACGUGGGCAACCUGCCCUGAAGUUGGGGAUAGCCCGCCGAAAGGCGGAUUAAUACCGAAUGUGGCUAGCUGCCGAGUGGUGGCGACGCUAAAGCUGGGGCAACCUGGCGCUUCUGGAUGGGGCCCGCCGGCCUANCAGCUUGUUGGUGAGGUAACGGCUCACCAAGGCUAUGACGGGUAGCUGGUCUGAGAGGACGACCAGCCACACUGGAACUGAGACACGGUCCA